RNAcentral lists this ribosomal RNA (254 nucleotides) under uncultured bacterium. Its description in RNAcentral is "partial 16S ribosomal RNA". It matches the Rfam family "Bacterial small subunit ribosomal RNA", at positions 524 to 777 of the family's 1533-position model. The record is from RNAcentral.
UACGGAGGGUGCAAGCGUUGUCCGGAAUCACUGGGCGUAAAGGGCGCGUAGGUGGUUUGAUAAGGGUGUGGUGAAAGUCCGGGGCUCAACCCCGGAUCUGCCGUGCCGACUGUCAAACUCGAGGACUGUAGAGGCAGACGGAAUUCCGGGUGUAGCGGUGGAAUGCGUAGAGAUCCGGAGGAAGACCGGUGGCGAAGGCGGUCUGCUGGGCAGUUUCUGACACUGAGGCGCGACAGCGUGGGGAGCAAACAGGG